UAAGUCAUCUACUUUGUAGUUGUAUAAAAAGCCGUUUACUUUCCAACGUCAACGAAAAUGUGUUUGUUUUGAAAACGAAGUAAUCUUGCAGAAUGUGAAAAAGGGAGCCCAAAUUUAUGCGAUUUCAAAAGUAAAUCAGAAAACUUUUGUGAAUGUGUAAAACGGAGUUUUUUGCUUGGAAACAUGCCACAAAUAAUUGGACCAUUCAGAAUUCAGACCACAUACUUUCAAGGAUUGGCCUUGUGAUUUAUUAUAAAACAUGGCGAAUGCAAUAUGAAGUCUUUUAAACUCAAACGCCAUCGAAAUCAUCGGAAUCCUGGGAAGGAGAAUUUCCUCACCUUGGAUUUUCUUUUGAGUAUCAUCGCGUAAAUCAAGUUGUUCAUCAAUUUUCUUACCACCGAACGAGUACCGUUGCACAGUUUUGGUUGGUUUAUGUUUCGAAGCAUGAUUACUACGGAGCCAACCUUUAGACGUAAAUUUUGCGGUGGUAAGCGUGGGACAUCCAAGGAGUUAAAAAAACAUUUAGUUGGAAAUUAUGUUUGGGAAUACUUUGUUGAUGAGCUCGUUUUUUGGUCUGACAAAUUUACAGUAAUUCUGAGGAAAUUAAAUCAAUCUGCUCGAUUCGUCGACAGGUACUCGACCAUUA
Drosophila pseudoobscura is the source of this 646-nucleotide long non-coding RNA. RefSeq lists it as uncharacterized. Lineage: Eukaryota; Metazoa; Arthropoda; Insecta; Diptera; Drosophilidae. The record is from RefSeq and is a predicted model, not a curated record. The transcript has 2 exons.